GAUGAACGCUAGCGGGAGGCUUAAUACAUGCAAGUCGGACGGCAGCAACACCUUCGGGUGGUUGGCGAGUGGCGAACGGGUGAGUAACGCGUACGGAACUACCUUAUACUGGAGGACACACACCGGAAACGGAGUAAAUACUCCAUAGUCUAGAAAUAGUAAAGCUUCGGCGGUAUAAGAUGUUCGUGCGUUAGAUUAGGUAGAUGGUGAGGUAACGGCUCACCAUGCCGACGAUCUAUAGGGGGCGUGAGAGCGUGAUCCCCCACACGGGUACUGAGACACGGACCCGACUCCUACGGGAGGCAGCAGUAAGGAAUAUUGGACAAUGGGGGCAACCCUGAUCCAGCCAUCCCGCGUGAAGGAUGACUGCCCUAUGGGUUGUAAACUUCUUUUAUGUGAGAAGAAACACAUCUCUGCGGAGGUGUCUGACGGUAUCACACGAAUAAGCACCGGCUAACUCCG
This 462-nucleotide ribosomal RNA is filed under the name uncultured Saprospiraceae bacterium. RNAcentral describes it as "bacterial SSU rRNA". It matches the Rfam family "Bacterial small subunit ribosomal RNA", at positions 28 to 505 of the family's 1533-position model. The record is from RNAcentral. Lineage: Bacteria; Pseudomonadati; Bacteroidota; Saprospiria; Saprospirales; Saprospiraceae.